This 550-nucleotide ribosomal RNA is filed under the name uncultured archaeon. Its description in RNAcentral is "bacterial SSU rRNA". It matches the Rfam family "Archaeal small subunit ribosomal RNA", at positions 327 to 879 of the family's 1478-position model. The record is from RNAcentral.
GGGGUGCGGCGGCGCGAAUACUUUAAAUGCGGGAAACCGUGAUAAGGGGACACCGAGUGCCAGCAUCAUAUGCUGGCUGUCCAGGUGUGUAAAAUACACCUGUUAGCAAGGGCCGGGCAAGACCGGUGCCAACCGCCGCGGUAACACCGGCGGCCCGAGUGGUGAUCGUGAUUAUUGGGUCUAAAGGGUCCGUAGCCGGUUUGGUCAUUCCUCCGGGAAAUCUGAUAGCUUAACUAUGAGGCUUUCGGAGGAUACUGCCAAACUUGGAACCGGGAGAGGUAAGAGGUACUACAGGGGUAGGAGUGAAAUCUUGUAAUCCCUGUGGGACCACCUGUGGCGAAGGCGUCUUACCAGAACGGGUUCGACGGUGAGGGACGAAAGCUGGGGGCACGAACCGGAUUAUAUACCCGGGUAGUCCCAGCCGUAAACGAUGCUCGCUAGGUGUCAGGCAUGGCGCGACCGUGUCUGGUGCCGCAGGGAAGCCGUGAAGCGAGCCACCUGGGAAGUACGGCCGCAAGGCUGAAACUUAAAGGAAUUGGCGGGGGAGCAC